UAUCAUCCUCAAGAAGAAGCAAGCUAAAGAUCAUCAGGGUAUUGUCGGCGAAGAAGGCUCCACUAUGAUUGAAGACAGUGUAUCACCACAUAAGGCGACAAUCUUGCAACACGAAACGCAUAAGACUAGUAAAGUUAACGAGUUGUCAUUGGCUAAAUCGGCUGUAAUGCGACCAAUGGAGGGUAUGACACCGUACGGUAUGGGUCAUGUGGGUAACGCACAACAAACGAUUGUUAGCGGCAGUGCAAACAAGGCGCACGCUCCGGUUUCGGUA
Long non-coding RNA from Dalotia coriaria, 274 nucleotides. RefSeq lists it as uncharacterized. The record is from RefSeq and is a predicted model, not a curated record. The transcript is spliced from 3 exons. NCBI's taxonomy places the organism in Eukaryota, Metazoa, Arthropoda, Insecta, Coleoptera, Staphylinidae.